RNAcentral lists this ribosomal RNA (428 nucleotides) under Chloroflexota bacterium. RNAcentral's name for it is "Chloroflexi bacterium partial 16S ribosomal RNA". It matches the Rfam family "Bacterial small subunit ribosomal RNA", at positions 355 to 776 of the family's 1533-position model. Lineage: Bacteria; Bacillati; Chloroflexota. The record is from RNAcentral.
UGGGGAAUAUUGCACAAUGGGCGCAAGCCUGAUGCAGCCAUGCCGCGUGUAUGAAGAAGGCCUUCGGGUUGUAAAGUACUUUCAGCGGGGAGGAAGGGAGUAAAGUUAAUACCUUUGCUCAUUGACGUUACCCGCAGAAGAAGCACCGGCUAACUCCGUGCCAGAGCCGCGGUAAUACGGAGGGUGCAAGCGUUAAUCGGAAUUACUGGGCGUAAAGCGCACGCAGGCGGUUUGUUAAGUCAGAUGUGAAAUCCCCGGGCUCAACCUGGGAACUGCAUCUGAUACUGGCAAGCUUGAGUCUCGUAGAGGGGGGUAGAAUUCCAGGUGUAGCGGUGAAAUGCGUAGAGAUCUGGAGGAAUACCGGUGGCGAAGGCGGCCCCCUGGACGAAGACUGACGCUCAGGUGCGAAAGCGUGGGGAGCAAACAGG